CGGUUAACUUACUGCUGCCCUC
Molecule: microRNA, 22 nt
Filed under: Scyliorhinus torazame (cloudy catshark)
Lineage: Eukaryota; Metazoa; Chordata; Chondrichthyes; Carcharhiniformes; Scyliorhinidae
Description: Sto-Mir-34-P3c_3p* (star (passenger))
Source: RNAcentral